This 25442-nucleotide long non-coding RNA is filed under the name Nicotiana benthamiana. RNAcentral describes it as "long non-coding RNA (NBEN_LNC029785)". The stretch from base 196 to 266 matches the Rfam family "MIR6151 microRNA precursor family". Lineage: Eukaryota; Viridiplantae; Streptophyta; Magnoliopsida; Solanales; Solanaceae. The record is from RNAcentral.
GACUAUUUCAUCGUCUUCUUCACAAAGCCGCAUUUCAACUCGCCAAAUCCAUGGCGAGUGAUUCCACAUUCCUAACCCACACAUCCCUCCAUCUCUCCUCUUGCCAUUUCUAAAGUUUUCUAACGCCAAGAUUCCCCUCUCCUCUCACUCGCUUGAAUUUGAGAUAUAUCUCACGUUUGGAAGCUUCUGAAAAGGAUUGGCUGGAUGACUGUGAGGCGUUGGAUUGAUUUUACUCAAUCCGAGCCCCACAUUCAUCAAGGGUUCAUUUUCAAAAAGGAACCUCUUCCGAUUUUGAGAGAUGAGGAAUUCUGGUAAAAAAACAGGGGAGAGAAAACUCGAAGGAUCUUUUUAGCUUCUGAUUUCUCUUUCCUGAAGAUUUUUUUUCUUUGAAAAGUUUCUCCGAAAGGUUCAAAAAGUGAGAUACAUAUAUAUAUUUAUUAAGUUCUGAAUCUAGAUUUUGGGUUCCAAAGAGAUAAAAAAUGGGUCGAAGUCAUUCGAUUGGGGGUGAGACUCAAGUUCGUUAACUUCGAUUUGCUACUGCUGCCUUACUGCUUCGUUGCAGAACCUUGCUAGGAUCUUGGAAUCCAAAAUUUUACUCGCUGCUUCUUCUGUAAUUAUUGAAAAGAAGUUUGAAAGUUCAGGUUCAAUCUCUUUCUCUUUCGCAUCUCUAUUUUUAAAGUGUUCUUGAACUGUGAAUUCUGUCCAGAACGGUGUUUGGUUCUAUGAGUGAAUUUCUUGCUGGUGAAUCUCUUUUCAAUGGUGUGAUGUAUUUGAGUAUGUUCAGUCAGUAAAGUUGAUUUUGAGGGAUCGUCCUCCAUGCUUAUAUGCUUUAAUUGUUAUUAUGGUGGUGAGUUUUCAUUUUGAGUCAAGAUUUCGUUAUUUUCAAAUGAACCGUUUGAUUUCAACUUUGAGAUGGUAUGGAUUCUUGAAGGCGUCAUACUACUGUUAGUUUAAGUCGAUUGGUUUAAGUCUAAAUGACUGUGUUCAUUGGUUCCAGUUUUAUAAUCAAGACUAGUUCCAGUUUAAAUGACCAGUUCAACUAAUGCUUGUGUUGCUUUGGCUAUAUACGACAUGUUUGAUGCUCAAAGUAAUCUGCUUGUACCUACUAUUUUAUCUCAGCAUGUUCUACAUGAAUCAUUGAGUAGUCUCCUUUUUCCCUGAUUCUAUGACCAUUUGCGUAUGUUCUGCUGGUUUGAAGUUGCUGAGAUUAUCCUUGUUAAUUUUUGAUUUUGUGGCUAUCGAGUUAAUCAGUCGGUCUUUCUUGCUGUGGCUCUGUUUGCGUUGUGAUCAAGUUUUCUGUUUUGGGAUAUAAGUCCAUUAGAUUGCUGCUUGCUGAAACUCCAUUUCAGAUUAUUUCAAGCCUCUCAUUUGGCUUUCCAUAUUUGCCCUUUCACUCUCAAUAUUUUACACACAGACUCAUCUAUGACACGCAUUACUUAGAAUGAAUUUAAGCUGAUUGUGAAACAUGGUGCAUUCAAUUACCCCCUUGGUAGCUGUGAGUUGAUUUUUAUGCAAUACUGUUGGUUAAUGUCACAUAUAAUAGCUAACUUUGGUCGAGUUGCAUUCUAUUUCCCUUCCUCUGUUAGUCUAUCAAUUUAGAGCUUUAGAUAUAUGUUCGUUGGUUGUCUAUGCUUGUUUCCUUGACCGGGAUUCUGAUGUCUCUCACCCAUUCUAGGAGACUAGUUUUAUUGAUCUCUUUUACAACCAACUAUUAACUUGGCAUUCAUAUGCUAUGGCUGUUGCUCUUCACCGAACAAUUAGUUCUAAGUAGCUGCUCCAGUUGCUUAAUCCAAUCAUUCAAACUGGAUGUUUUCCUUAUCUAUGUUCUUUGGCUUUCUAAAAAUGGGAAAUAGGCAGAUCUUUGGUUGUUGUGAAGCUGAAACCUUUCUUAUGAGUUUGUUGGCCUGGGUUUGAAAACUUGACUGAUCACUUGUAGGAAAAUCAGUAGUAGCUGGCUUUCUGAAUUUUGCUUCGUUUGGUUUGGACAGUCGUAGGAAUACCAGAUUUGUUUUUUUGUGCACUUUCAUUCGUUUGGCCAGCCUCAUUUGUCUUUGAAGGGUUAACAAGCAGUUUUUUGUACAUAGUUGACGAUGAUUAACCGAAGUAGCAGUAGGUAGCAAAUGGAAGUCAUGGCUACUGAUUAGAAGUGUCACUCUGGUUUUGUCUGCUGCAGACAAGUCCAUAGGCCUAUAAAUUCUAGUUUCCGGUUUUGGGGUUUUACCAUUUGUUAGGCAUUAAAGGUUUUUACCCUCGAAGGCAAAUUGUGUUAUGUAUAACUAUAUCGUCCGUCACAUGUUGGAUUGAGUUCAUUUCAGGGUUUGCUAAUGUUAUUUUAAGUGGAAUGUAGAUCUCAGUCGAAGAGUUGAGGAGGAGAUGGCUAGGGUCUCUGAACAUAAAUUAAGUACAAUCCCUUUGGAAAUAGUAGAGAUGGGCCAUAUUAGAUAACACAAAUAACUUAUGGCCCCCGAAGUUUAGCUUGAAUUUUUUUUAAUUGGAAAUUAAUGUGCAUCAUGCAAAACAAAAAUCUCAAUUGCAUGACCCUCAUUUAAUUAAUCUUGUUUUGAUCCUUAGAAAUCGAGGCGUGCCGUUUAACGAAAUUCCCAUGGUCCCCGCAAAGUUAAAAACACGUAGUUACUUUAGGUGCAUUAUUUUAAUAAGAUUACCUUCCUAAACUCGGGUGCGCAUUUAUGUGACCCAAAUCUAAAUCUCAACAACGUUAGAUAAAAUAUGUCAAGGACCACGGGUGCAUUUAUGUGAUGUGGUUCAAGACGUGUUUUAAUAACGUUAAAAUCUUUCUAAGAAAAAAACAAUUAAUUAAAAGCGGUUAUAAAGCAAAAAUGCACAUAGCAUUAAACAUGUUUAAUAUCAGAUAAUUAGGCCAAUUAUAACACUUGAGCGACCGUGCUAGAACCACGAAACUCGGGAAUGCCUAACACCUUCUUCCGCGUUAAUAGAAUUCAUUACCCGGAUUUUUGUGUUCGCGGACUGUAAUUUAGAGUCGAUCUUUUCCUCGAUUUGGGAUUUGAACCGGUGAAUUGGGACACCAUAAAAUUAUCCCAAGUAAAGCGACUCUGAUUUUUUUUUACUAAAUAAAUUUCGUCUCGAUUGUCAGUUUAAGUUGAAAAAACUCCCUUAUACCUCUUCCGGGGGUGUAGAAAAAAGGAGGUGUGACCCACCCCAUCCUCAAUAUUUCUUCACAAUUCAUAAUCAAGGAAUAUUCUACCAACGGGAACAUCCAGCCUUUGAACCUUAUGUAUACCAUAUCCAUCAUCUUACAGAAAAAUAUCCACAAUUCAAAUCAUAAUGCACCUACCAAUAGGCGAACUCUCCUCCGGCGAUAGCAAAUAGUGCCAGCAUAGUGUUAAGCACUCGAAAUCAUUCGUGUCAUCAAGAACUCAUAUUCUUCCCUCCAAAACUAAACUUUAAUCUUGUACAUGAAAAUGUUCAACCCCACACGGUGCUUCACCUAUAACAUUCUAACUCAUGACACUAUGAAAAUUUCAUAAUCAACUCUGAACCAUGAUCAAAUUGAACAACUCAUCAACAACGAACCUUUUAUUUUAAUCAAUCCAAGAGAACAUCAUGACACAAAAUAUAACUUCUACACCUGUAACAAACACCAACUCCAGUCGUAGUCAUAACCAUGAUAAAUUUUUCAACAAAAAACCCAGUGUAAUCUCACUAAUGGCGUUUGAGGACGGUAGUGUGUAUGCAAACCUAUUUUAAGAAGAUAGACAUGUUAUUUCCGAUAGACUUCGGCUAUCUUUCAGAUAGUAACAAAAAUCUCUUUUUUUUUAUAAGUAAACAAAAGUGAUACUCCUUCCGGUCAAUAAUAAGUGUCCUUUUGGCCUUUGGAACACCCCUUAAGAAAAUAACUCCUAAAAAAGUAUUUUGACUAAACUACCAUUAAUUAAAAUUUGUAUAUUAUUAACUGGACACAAUGGGAUAUGUAAAUAAGAUCAAAUUUGGAAAAAUAAAGUUAGAUUCUUCUUGAUUAGGUAAAAAGGAUACUUAUUUUGAACUAAAACAAAAAGGCCAAAAGGUCACUUCUUAUGGAUUAGAGGGAGAAGCCUAUUUGACCGGACACAGAGUUUAAGAAAAACAAAAGGCUUUUGAACUUGUAACGUAAAAUGAUGCAAAUAUAUUUUAUGUGUAUAUAUUGCAUAAAGGUAAUUAUUUCCAAAUAUGGAAAGAGGUCUUUUUUUGGCACGGACUAAAAAGAAAAUAGGUUCACAUAAAUUGAAACAGAGGAAGUACUAUCUAUUCCACGGGAACCACUCUCCCACCUUAUCCCGAAUUUCUUCAUUCCUAAUUAAUCUUGGUAUACCUGCACAUCCAUCUAAACAUCCUUAUUUCUGCUAAUUUCAUCUUCUAGACAUGAAAAUUCUUGACUAGCUAACACUCUGCCCCAUUUGUAUGGAAGUUUUGUCGUGUUUUUAAUUCAAAAGCCGAUUUUAAAUCUAUUUCGAUAUUGGUAAAGAAAAAGGAGGCAUAUUGAACUGAGUUAGGGCAAUUGCAACACCCUCACCAUUGGCUAGACCUCAAUUUACUGAGGUGAUGCUCUAAUGGUAUAUGGUUGAAGAAAAUUUCCAAAAAUGACAAGUUUUGUUAAACUAAGAAUGCAAAUUUUGAAGGAGAGAAAAAUUAGUUAUCAACUCGAUCACUCUUCCAGAUUGUCAAUGAGAUGUUGGUUCUCAAUAAGUCAACUAAGCAAUAUCAAACAAGCACUACAUACUUCUAUUAGAAACUUCUACCAGUGUACCUUCAUAAAACAAGGGCUCAAGUCAACAAUUGACAACCUCUCAACUUUCUCCCCUAAACUCAAAUCGGGAGACUUUACCCACAAUAGAUGAAGUAAUUCCAUUGACAUCCUUCCCAACAAGCAGUGCCCUUCGAGAUUCACUAUCACAAUUUGAAAAUUAGAUUAUAACAAGAAAGAAGAUGGACCAUGAGAACCCUGAAGAAAAUUUGUUCUUGAAGGAGGGAAAACAUCCCAACAUUCAAACCAACUAAAUAAGAAAAAAGGAGGUUAUCAAACAUAACGAAAAAGUAUAAAGCAACAGAAGAUAAUAAAUAUUGCAUAAAGCCUAAUACGACGGAAUUUGACAUAACAACAAACAUUAUAUGGUUUUUCUUUUCAUGCGCUAACGGAGCUAAACAUUGAGUGCAUGUUCCAAGUGCUGAGAAAGGUCUAUGGACUUUGUUGAGAUCCAUUUGUUGACAAUAUUCCAGAUAUAACAUUUUAACUUUGUAUUAUAUAUUUUACACAUCAAAGGACAAACAUGAAUUCAUAAUCAUGUUUAGGUUUAUCGUUCCCUCCCCAGACCCCACCUGGUGGGAGUAUACUGGGUAGUUGUUGUUUAGGUUUAUCGUUGUUUCUUAAGCUAGCCUGUGCUGCCAUAAGAUUGAGAAUAAAAAGUUUCCAGUGUUCUUUUUAAAUUUGAUUUGUUUCACACAAUUGUUGUUGUUAGAGUUUAGGAAUAAUAUCAUCAAAUCAUAUUACAAGGUCCUAAAUGUGCUAGAACCACCAGCAUUGAAUUAAAAGACGUCCAAAUCUUGUCAGGUCCACAGAUACAAAGAAGAUAAGAAGGGAAAAUUAAAGAGACGAUGUUAAUGGAUGUGAAGGAGAAUCACUUUAUAAGGACAUAAAGGGACAAGUAGAAGGAUACUCUGAACUUUUCUCUCCUCAAUCAGUAUCUAGAAGGAAAUGCUUUUUAAGAAAGACAAGAAUAGGAAAGAAAUACUAUAGACUCAGGUUACCAUACUGCAAAUACUUUGUUAUUUCAUUAUAGUCUUCUUUCUUUUAAUUCAGGAUUGUGAAAUAGGUCACUCAAAACUGAAGAAACAUGUUUCUAGAUUUGGCACAUUAUAGAUUAUUAGACUUUCAAUAUAUGUAUGCUUAAUAUGUUCUAAUGCAUCAAAAUGAAUACCAAAAGUGAUAACCAAACGGAAAAUUGCUGAAUUUGACAAUUGCCAACAAUCAUAAAGCUUAUUUGACAUAGUUAACUGCACAAAUAAGGAUCUUUCAGACUUUCCCGCUUAUGUAUCCAAAUGAUCUCUAGCAAGUUCAACUGCAAAGGCAGAAACUAUUUAUAAUUGGCCCUCAUAACGAAUCUCAACAAAUAAAGUUUCAGAAAAUGCUUUAUACCUGCCAAAGCUGACAAACAGGAUGACAAGAGAGCCAACCCUUAUUUCAGCUGAAAAUUUAUCCAUUUCAGGGAGAAAGAAUUUUCCUUGAGCUUGAUUUAUUCCAUCAACUCCAGUGAAAGAAGUUGAUAUGUAUGCCUGCCUCUGAUGUAAUUUCUGAUGGUUCAGAUAGCUUCGAGAGGUAAUUUGAGAUUUAGGAGAGUGAUCGGAAUGUGGGUUGGAGGUCCGGAGUAGAUUUAGGCUUGAAUUAGCGAAAGUGGAUUUUUGGCGUUUUGCGGUUGAUAGGUGAGAUUCUGAUAUUGGGGUCAGAAUGGAAUUCCAGGAGUUGAAGUAGUUUUGUUGUGUAGCUAAUAGAUAUAGCACUGUGAGUGUUGGGAGUAUUGUGUUGCGUCUUCUUCACUGCGUUUGUUAGAGUUUCAAUAGCAUUUCAAAACCCUUCGCAUUGAAGAGAUUCUUCCUUAGUUGAGUUUUAGCAGAGAUCUUUAAGAAUUAUAAUAUGUAUCAUCACUUGCCUAUCUUUAACAUUAGAAUAACUAAUCUUUUUCUUUCCUAAGAAAGAAUUAAAGAUCUGAAGGGAAUGAGGGUCAUUUGGUAAACAUCACUGCUUUUAUUUGCUAAAAAGUAGUUGAAUGAAAUUUGUUUAGAGCUAAAAGAGUUCGUUGUUAAAUUAGGAGUUGUCAAAUUAGUAAUGUACAGCUUUAUGUUGCAAACAUAAGAUUUUAUGCUCGAUUUAUAUUUUAUCCCUUUGAUGUGUUGUGCUCUUCAGAACUUAUUGCAUCAUUUGCCCUUUACUAUUAAACCUUUGUAUUUUGUGAUCCGCAAAGAGUUAUUUGAAGACAAAAGAAAAUGACCUUGAAUUGAACAAUCUUUCUGUUGUUUUACUCACCAUAUAACGAUCCUUGUUUGUAUGUUUUCUAUGAAAAUUGAAACUUGAAUACUACUAAAUAAUUCAAAGACCAUGGCAUUCUGUUGGGUUCCUCUAAAAAAUGUUUGUUCAUCGUUUUGCUGUAUCACUUUAUUUGGAUAGCAAGUCAAUAAAAACUAUAGUUGGCUCAUUUCUUCGUGAAUACCAAGCUUGCUUACUUUAGUUGUUAAACAAUUACCAAUUUUCUGCAUUUUCCGUCGGCUAAGUGAUUAUGUCAUUUUUUAAUAGUUCCAUGAUUCAUGAGUUCACAAUAAUCUCAAGAUAGUUUUUGGAAAUAAUAUAAACAAUCUUAGCUUAUUUUAGGCUCGAUUUAGAUUAGUAUUGCGAUAAUGUAUAUGUUCGUGUAACAUAAUUGCAAAUUUAACUCUAAAAGACUUGAGGGAUGUGUUCACGCAACUUUACCAAAAUUUCUUAAUAAAUUAACAGCGUUAUUAAUUGUGGACACGUUCGCGUGACUCGAUUUUUGACAUGCCAAAAGAAAAGAGUAUACGUAUGCGUAACUCAAUUCUUUAAUUAUGAAUAAUUCAGGUGAUCGGUAAAAGAUAAAUGCACAUAGGUCUUAAAAAUGAGUAGUUAAACAGUUUAAGUCAAGUAAUAAUCGCUAAGCGAUUGUGCCAGAACCAUGGAACCGGGGAAUGCCUAAUACCUUCUCCCGGGUUAACAGAAUUCCUUAUCUAGAAUUUCUGGUUCGCAGACUCUUUAAAAAUAAAACUUCCUCGAUUUGAGAUUUAAAAUAAACCGGUGACUUUGGACACCAUAAUUUAUUCAAGUGGCGAUUCUUAUAAAUAAAAUAAUCCCAUUUCGAAUAAUGUCACUUUAAUUGUAAAAACUACCUUAUAUACCCCCUCGGGCGGGUUUGUAAAAAAGGAGGUGGGACAGGAGGGGCUAAACGUGGUAUUAACGCACUGGUCAUCAUAUCCAUAUCUACCCUUUCCCAUCCCGUUUAAGGUACUAAAGCACGGAUUGGUCUCGACCACUAUUGUAUACUAUUACCCGCCCCAUUCCUACAAAGGGAUCAGGGAUUGGGAUCUAUUGCAAGGAGCCUAUGUACUUAGGCAGGGACCAGCUUUGGGCAUGCACAGUGAUAGAAGGUGUUGGCAUGCCUAUAAACCAAUCAGAAUACACAACAGCUAAAGGAGGUAUGGAGGUUAUGAUCCCAAGGGGAUUAGAUUUAAGUCAUGCACAGCAACAUUCAGUGUUGUCAUGCCCCAAACCAACCACAAAUACCAAACCCAUUGGAGAUGGGGAUUUAGGAUUCACAAGCCAUGAUAAGUAAUUCAAAGAAGCAUCAAUUCAAAACAAAAAAAAAAGGAGACUAAAACAUGCUUAAUAAUGGGCGUGGUUAAAUACUAACAGGAGACAAACAAGGAUGAAAGAAACAAUAAAGGAACACGUUGUUGAUGCAAACGAUUAGUCAGAACAUAACAGUAAAGGUAAAAAAAUGUAGAGAAAAAUAAGUAAGCUCCCCACAGCCUAGCCUUGGCUAUCACCCGGCUAGGUAAGGCAGUAGUACAAGCAACAACAGAGAAAAGAGAGAGAUUUUAGUGGAGUGUGUGUAUGAACUCAAGUAUUUUAUGCCUUGUGUUCAUGUGUUUGAAAGAAGAGAAUGUGGGUAUUUAUAGUUCUGAAAAUAUGUGAGAAAUAAGGCAGUAAAUAAAGUUCAAUGCACAUAUGAAAAUAAUCAGCAAUCAAAAUCAAUCAGCCAACCGAUUCCCCUUUAAUUGAGGAAUCACUUGUUUAAGAGGCUAAUAGGUUUAAAAGAGGGAAAGAAAAUCAGUUUGCAGGCAGACUGAUUAUUACCAUAAAAGAAGUAGCAGAACAUUAAGUACACAAUAGAGUCUUAGUACAGAAAUACUUAUUUUGGGAAACAGAUUCAACAAGGCAAUAAUAAGGAAAGGGAUCAACUACUUUAACAGCCGGGUAAAAUUAAGAGUUCACAAAGAGAAGUUUUGAAAUCAGCCCCUAAAAUUGAGAAUCAAUCAAAGAAAGAAUUUCAGUAGAUAAAUAGAGUGCACAAGCAAUACACGUGCAAGGUCAAACUAUUGGCAAAGGAACAGCAUACAAUAGUAGCAUAGAGUUCAGGAAACAUACGAAGCAUGCUAGUCUAGUAGGUUAAGUCUCAUUGAAUUAGUAGUAAAGAAAAAUAGAGUAUCAGAAGCACGAAAAAGGUCAAGUGAAAAAACUCUUCUAAAAAGCAUAGUCUAGUUUAAAAAAUAGCGGGAACCAAAAAUCAAAUGAAUCACAUAAAGAAAAGAGAUGUUGAAACAAAGGAACUUCAAAUCAAAUCGAGCAGUUUCAACUCAAAGGUCAUUGGUUUUUCUUUUAAGAAUAUUCAAGUUUAACAGAUGAUAAACAGAUAAAUCAAACAGAUAUUAGCAAACAACUUCAGAAACUCGAAUGAACCCCAAAAGAAAUUAAGGUUUUCAAUACCAAUCGAGUCUGGAGACGAUAAACAAGUAAAUCAAAUAAACACUAACAAAUAGUCUCAGAAACCCCAAAAGAAGGGUUUUUAUCAUACUAAACUCAAAAAAGAAGAUUUUGAAAGAAAACCUUAAACGAAAAAAGAUGAAGAGUCUUUUUUUAAAGCAAAAAUUAAAGAGACAUCGAGAAGGUGUUUAAGAACUCAUAGCAAGAAUGGAUCUAAAGUGAACCUGAGAGAAGUCAAAAAACUCUUAGAGAUUAGGGUUUCAGAAGAUCUCUAAGUGACGAGAAAGGCCUUGAAAACCAUCAACCUAAACAGGAGAGUCAAAAGUCUGACUCAAAUGGCCAUGGCUAGCCGGAGAAAGGUCAGCGACGACCGAAGAACAGUCUUCGAACAAAACACUGGACCAAGCCCCUUCAGAAUUUGGUCAUAAGACCACAACAGCAAGCACAUAGAAGCAAUGGGAGACUGAUACAGGUCUUAGAUGACCAUGGAAAGCCAUAUAUUAUGGUAGAUAAGGGUGGCGGCGGCUAGGGUUUGAUGUUUUUGUAGAGAGAAUUUGAGAGAUGAGGGGAAUUCAGAGGCGGUGCAUGGUGAAAAAUGAUAGGGUUUAGGGUGUCGUUUAGGAUUAAUUUAGGUAAGUGCAGCCGAUGGUCGUUUAUCUAAAUUAUCAAUGGCUGAGAUUUAAAAUGUUAGGUGGGAUCCAGAUAUGGCUCAGUUUAACUGGGUUUGGGUCGGUGGUUUAAUAGGUUGGGCCAGGGAAUUGGGUUUCAAAUUGGGGUCCAAUUUAGGCUACAAUCAAAAUAAAAUGGGUUAUCAUUUAAAUAGCCAAUUUUUCUUAUUUGAUUUAUAAAAAAUAAUAAAAUAAUAAAAUAAUUUUUUUAAAAUAAAAUAAAGAUGUUAAAAUUAUUUAUAACACAUAAUUAGUUAUCUAAGAAUAGCAUACCUGAUUUUGUGAAUACAAAACACAGUUAAAUCUAAAAAAAGGGGCUAAUAUUGUAACUACACAAUUUUAGCCUUAAAAAUACUAAAUAAUUUUGUAACAAAAUAUGCAAAAAUUACCUUAUCUAUAUUUUAGCAUAAAUAUAAACACUCAACAAAGGAAUUACCAAAAUAAUAAUUUUAGAAACAAUUAUUGAAUUUUUUAUGGAUAAAAUACGGGAAUAAAUUGAUUUAAAAAUCCUUUAAAAUUAGGGGAAAAUAAGGAAACACUCGGAGAUGCUUAAAUAUGCAUACAUAUGUUAAUGGAAGGUAUUUGCAUAUUAAAAUAUACAUAGGAAAAAAUUAGGUAUCAACACCAGUUGGGCUAGAUGUGCCCCCGGUGUCUGAAGUCCCUAAACGACCUGCUCAGGUGUGCGAGCGGCGGGAGUCUGAUUGCCUCCCUGGGCCUGAGAAGUAGCCCGAUGUAGUAAUUGAGACCGCCUGAGCUAGGCUAGUGCAUAUGGUCAAAAUCUAAGCCAAGGCCUCCUGAAGACCUAGAAUCACAAUGGGCACAGUUGGUGCCUGAGCUGGUGCUGCUAGAGCGUCCACAACUGGGACUUCAUCCUGACCUAGGGCGUCGGGUGGAUUUGCAGGUGUUGCCUUAGCUACUGUGCAGGCUACACCCCUGCCCCUACCGCGACUGCGGCUGCGUCCUCAGCCUUUAGUGGUUAUAGCUGGUGGUACUAGUGGUCGUCCAUCCCGACCAGCAGCAUGUGUCAUUACCAUCUGUGAGAGAAUAGAAUAACAUAAGCUUAGUACUCUGGAUCAACAAAUUCGCACGACAAGAAUUUUAAGAAUAUGAAGUUUUACCUAAAGGUUCUACAGCCUCUCGAGGAUAAAUAUAGACAUCUCCAUACCGGUCCGCGAGACUCUACUAAACCUACUUAUGACUCGUGAGACCUCUGUAACCUAGGCUCUGAUACCAACUUAUCACGACCCUAAACCCGAUCGGUUGUGAUGGUGCCUCUCGUGAAGACAAGGUCAGCCGACACAGUCCAAAUUCAUUUUUAAGCAAUUAAAAUAAUACAAAUUAAGUCAUUAACAUAAUUAAAUCCCAAAAAAGAAACACUCAGAUAGUAUAAUUUGCGAAAAAAAUAACACUGCCGACAUUUGGGUGUCACCAGUCAUGAGCACCUACUAACCGAUUAAACACAAGAAAAGUCUACAUGGUCUAUUACAGAACUAAACAAGAGAAAAUAAGAUGGGGGAGAAGCACUGUGCUGCAAACGCUGAGCAUCUACCUAGUGAAUCUCUGAAUCCGCCUGAGUUGGAAGAAAUCAACACUCACUAGCGGGACCUGUAGCGACUGAAUAUGCGCACAGGGUGCAGGGAGUAAAGUGAGUACUCCAAAUCAGUGAGUAAUAAUAAUAAACGAAGACUAAGUAAUAAGAAAUCACAUAAAAAUACAACGACAUGCUAUAAAGAGGCAGAGUAAAACCAGUAAAGCGCAAUAAAACGAUAAAUAUCAUAAAAACACCUUAGUAAACAACACUGCUGACAUUUGGGUGUCACCAGUCAUGAGCACCUACUAAUCGAUUAAACACAAGAAAAGUCUACAUGGUCUAUUACAGAACUAAACAAGAGAAAAUAAGAUGGGGGAGAAGCACUGUGCUGCAAAUGCUGAGCAUCUACCUAGUGAAUCUCUGAAUCCGCCUGAGUUGGAAGAAAUCAACACUCACUAGCGGGACCUGUAGCGACUGAAUAUGCGCACAGGGUGCAGGGAGUAAAGUGAGUACUCCAAAUCAGUGAGUAAUAAUAAUAAACGAAGACUAAGUAAUAAGAAAUCACAUAAAAAUACAACGACAUGCUAUAAAGAGGCAGAGUAAAACCAGUAAAGCGCAAUAAAACGAUAAAUAUCAUAAAAACACCUUAGUUCAGUUUAAGCUUCUAAAAAUACCUUUUUAACAGUUAAACAAGUAAAUGACAGGCAGCUACAAAAGAUAAACACAUAAAAACUGCCCCUUGGGCAUAAUGUCAACAAAAUCAUCCCCUCAAGCAAUAACAUGGUACAACACUAGCCCCUCGGGCUAUAUCUCAUAUCACAAUGGAUACCCGCGCUCAAUAGGGCAUACUGACUCCAGGAGGGACCAUUUACGGCCUAAGCAAUAUCAAGCCAUCUCAUGGCAUAAUCACUAGGCUCUCGACCUCAUAUCAAGCCACCUUAUGGCGUACAGCUCAGGCCCUCGACCUCAUAGUCAUAAUCAAUGUAUCACUGUUAUGGCAUGCAACCUGACCCAAAAGUAUCCUCACAACACGGGCCAUUGGCUUUACUCAGACAGGAUCUCAUAAGUCACUAAGGCAAUAGUAAAACAUAAUGCUCAACCCAAUUAUCAUUUAAAAAUGUCAUUUAAUAUGGUAAAACAGAGUAAACAUGGCUGAAUUAUGAAAACAGUAGAAUAUAGCAUGACUGAGUACAGGUACAUAAUCAAAUCAGUGGGGAAAUACCAGUAAAACUCCCAUAAGGGUCCAAAUAGUCUGCACGAAGCCCAAAUAUGGCAUUCAGCCCAAAACAUGAUGAUAGAAAAUUGUUUUCAAUCAAAUAUGCGCUAAAAUAGUCAUUCGGGACGCACUAAGUCACAAUCCUUAAAGGUGCACAAUCUCACGCCCAUCAUCUAGCGUGCUUGGCACCUCAACAUAGUACAAUGAUAUGAAAUCUAAGGUUUCAUACCCUCUGGACAACACUUACAAUCAUUCCUCACUUCAAUCCGGUCCAAACUCUAGCCUGGGACGCCUUUGCCCCUUGAAUCGGCCUCUGAAUGCUCCAAAUCUAGCAAAAAUCAGUAUAUAACCAUCAAAAUGUGCUAAGGGAACAAAGCCCACUCAAAAAUAAUCAAAAUACCACGCAAAUACCGAAAUUAACCAAACCCGAUCCUCGGGUCCACGUCUCGGAAUUUGAUAAAUUUUACAUCAUUAAACUCAUUAUCUCCCCACGAGUUUAUACAUAUCAAAAGUCCCAAAAUCCGACCACAAAUGACCCCUUAAACCCUUGCUCAAAGUCUCCAAUUCUCAAGCCCUAGUUUCCCAAUUUUUAACCUUUAUUUUUCAUUAACUAUAGCUCUAAUCCGUAAAAUAAUACCAUAGGAUUGAUUAUUAGGUUAAAAAAUCUUACCUCCAGACAUUAUCCCUUGAAUCCCUCUUCAAAAUCUCCUAAAAAGCUCCAAACCCGACUUGAAAUGGUGAAGAACAACUCAAAAAUCGUGAAGGAAAUAUUUUAUACUUUUUGGCCAACAGUUUUCGUACCUCCAGCCCUUUUUCCACUUCUGCAGUCCGUUUCUACGGCCAAAACCACCGCAUCUGUGAUUUUCACUUAAAUGACCAAUACCACAUCUACGGUUAAAAUCUCGCACUUGUGCUACGGCAGGUGCGCCCUCUUUGCCGCUUCUGCAGUUCUAGCUGCUUGCCUACUUGGCCGCUUCUGUGGCUGCCUUCCACUUCUACGGGCAUUGCACCUGCGACCUCCCAAUUGCAGGUGCGGUUAUGACAGCAGCAAAAUGCUUCAGCUCUCAAACUCAACUCUAUACCUUCCGUCAACCAUCCGAAUUCACCUCGAGGCCCUCGAGACCUUAUUCAAAAGCACCAACAAGCCAUAUACCACCCUUCUAACUUAUAUCAAUCCUCAAAACACCUCGAAUAACAUCGAAUCAACCAAAACACUUCGGAUUCAAGCAUAGGGUUAAUAGAAGAAGUUAAAAAUGUCAAACCUCAACCGAAAAUUGGACAGAACAAACUCCCAGCAACAUUCUCCCAACACUCACGCAACACAAUACUCCCAGCAAGGUGAGGUCCAAUCAAUUUUUUGCUCACCUCAAACAUUAGUGUAACUUAAUAGAAGAAGUUAAAAAUGUCAGUCCUAAUAAAAGAAGCCAACUGAAAAGGAGCAUGUAAACCUCCAACAACGGUUACUAAUUGUCAUUCAACAGGUUCAAAUUUUUACAGUUUCAGAACAUAUCUAUUAGCAAAAAUAGCUGAAAAUAUCAAAAGAAGCUCUGAAAUGGGGGGAGGGAUUCAGCAACAAUAACAGCACCUCCACAGACCAGCCAAAUAAAUCCAAACCUCAACCGAAAAUUGGACAGAACAAACCUAAAAUGCCGAAAUUCAAAACCCAACUACAAACUUUAACUCGAGAUUUAAUUCGGACUUCUUUUUUUGAACCAGAAAUCAAGAGAAAGAAACAAGGCUAGAAAGCUUUCCGUUUCAGUAAUUUUUGGCAAAAAUGAACUCGAAUGAGAGCUGAAACUCAAGCCAUUUUUUAAUCUUUUCUGAAAAAAACAAGAAAAAACAGACUGAAAAUGGCUUCAAGAAAAGUGACAACUCAAAACCCUAAAUAUUUUACUCGACUAUAUUCUGAAGAUUUUUCUCCGAUUUUUCCUUUCUGAUUUUCUCCUUCUAGCACAUAGGACUUACCUCAUAUAUAUAGCCUUCAAAAAUUCUCCCGAAUAUGCUAAACAGUCCGAAAAUCUCUCAAGUUUUUGAACAAUUUUGGGACAAAUGGGGGGCGUGGAUUGGUUCGCAUCUACCACGGCUCCUAUUCAUCCAACAAUUGUCCUUUUUUAUACAGAAAUCCGCAAUUUAGAAUAGAAUAUUCGAAUUCCUUCUGACAAAAACCUUUAGGAAUCAGAUGUCGUGGAGGGGGGGGGACCAAUUUGAGCGAACUCGGGUGAGUUGAAAGCGAGUUGGGGCCGAAUCAGUUGAAGAACAAGAUGAAUAGUGUAAAGGGAUGCCGCAUUCUCUGAUAUGUUAGGGUUAGGGAAUUUGGGGAGAAUUAUAAGAAGGUUUUUAUAUUAAGAGGGAAAGGGAGGGGUCUCUUCGGGCUGAAGUUAAUUUGUAGGGAUUUUUACGUAUGUAUACCAUAUAACAAACUUUAUUACUAAAAAUAUUUUUAUAUAGUAUUUACCCGCCUAGAUCAUAGUUUGUUUACAAAAAUUGUACCAAAUCAAAAAUAGGUGAAUUCUACCCUAAAAAAGCGCCAAUUUUGUACCAGUCAGAUGUAGUGUGAUUCUAUCACCAUUAAUUUCGAAAUUUAAAACGGAAGAAAACUCAUUGCAUCGUAAUUCUCUCAUUCUCCAUAUAUUUUCCACCAUUAAUAGCCAUUAAAAGCUAGAAAGCUUUGAAUUCAGAUUUGGAUUUUCAAAAAUCAUUAUUUGUUUGGAUUGGGUGUUGUUGUAUCUCGAUUUUGAGGGGGUUUUGAUGAAGAUUAGACUUGGUUUUGACUGAAUUUCAGAUUGAAACUCGUCGAAGAAGAAGAAGACAUAUUUUUCCAGAAUUUGUAGUUANNNNNNNNNNNNNNNNNNNNNNNNNNNNNNNNGAAGAAGAAGACAUAUUUUUUCAGAAAUUGUAGUUAAAUUGUAGAAUUGUAGAUAAAAUAUAGAUAAAUUGUAGAUAAUUUAUAGAUAAAUUGUGGAUUGGAAAAACUAAAAUUUCUACAGGUCUUCUACAAUUAUGUAGAAAAUGCCAAUUAUGCUACAAUUGAAAAUCCUUUGGAUUUGGUGUUGUUGUAAAUAAUUCGAAAUAUGUUUAGGAGUUUAUAUCUCAAUUUUGANNNNNNNNNNNNNNNNNNNNNNNNNNNNNNNNNNNNNNNNNNNNNNNNNNNNNNNNNNNNNNNNNNNNNNNNNNNNNNNNNNNNNNNNNNNNNNNNNNNNNNNNNNNNNNNNUUUUGAGGGGUUUUGGUGAAGAUUAGACUUGGUUUUGACUGAAUUUCAGAUUGAAACUCGUCGAAGAAGAAGAAGACAUAUUUUUUCAGAAAUUGUAGAAUUCUAGAUAAAUUGAAUAAAGUGUAGAUAAAUGGUCGAUAAUUUGUAGAUAAAUUGUAGAUUGGAAAGACUAAAACUUAUACAAGUCUUCUACAAUUAUGUCGAAAAUGCUAAUUAUGCUACAAUUGAAAAGAGAAUUGGAAUAUUAAAAUUCAAUGUAUUCAGUUUGUAGAUACAAUUUCCACAAAUAAAGUACAAAUCAGUUUAAGUAUUGUAUAAAGUUGUAUUGCUACAUUUAUACUACAAUUAAACUACAAUCUUGUAUCAAAAAAAUUUAAGCAUACCAAAAUUCAAUUUACUUUUUCUUGAUUACUUACCUAACAUAUGUAUUUUACCAAGUUAGCCAGAGAAAUCCACUGAUAAUAUUUUUAAAUACAUAAUGCCUUUGGUUUAGGGUAAUUAUAUAUCCUAUUAAGUAAAAUUAUCAUAAUGCUAUUAGUACGGACGUCGGUUGCAUUUAAGCCAAGGACUUGUUUCUUUAAUUUUUCACCAUUAUUGAUAAAGCUCGUAAGAAUUUUCUAUUGGAAUUAAGCAUACCAAAUUUCAAUUUAUAUCCCAAUUGAAAUGAGAAUUGGGAUCUUAUGUGACUCAAUAGAACGAGCUCUUUAAACUCAUUUGUACACUAAAGAAUAAUUGAUAUCCUAAAGAAUAAAUAACGACUAAAUUUCAUAGGUUUUCUUAACAUAAUUUUUUCUGUUCAUUCGAAAUAAAAUAAAAAAUAUUGCUUGGUAGAAACAAUUUGUUUGGAAAGAUUCGAUUUUGUUUUAGAAGGCGGGUUUUUUAUGCCAUUCUUGAUUUUUGAUAAGAGAUUUUGUCGCCCUUUCCUAAGCUAUUUUGGCUUCGAAAGAGAAGAGGAGGAAAAAAAGGGAAAAAGAAUAUAUGCUCCUAAAAUCAUGCCUAGGAUAAGUGAAGCAAUAAUUAUACUCUUAAUUUGAAUUAUGGUACAUAAAUUGAAUUUUGGUAUGCUUAAAUGUAAUAAACACAAACCUUAAACAUGUGAGGUAAUAAGGUUUUGCUAUAUGGUAUAGAUAAGUAAAAAUCUCUUUUAAAAAUGGGCCAAUUGCUUAAAUUAAAAUCUCAUUUGCUAUUAAAUUUUUAUUCUUUUUUUUUAAUAAUUAACAACCAUAGAAAUUAAAAAUUCUAAAUUAAUCUUUUUUUUGAAACUAAAGCUCUUCCUUUUCAAUUCUUCCUUUAUUUUCAAAUUUCCUUUUCAUUUUAAAAAUUACAAAACUAAUAAUUAAAAAUCCUAAAUUAUCUAAAAAUGUGUAAUUGAAGUAAUUAACUAAUUAUAAAAAUAUAAACAUUACUUAAAUCUAUAAUAAAAGUGAAAAAUCAAAAAGUAAAAUUAAAGCAAAAAAAAUGUGAAAAUGAACUAUUUUUUGUGAUUUUCAAAUUUUAUAAAACAAGUAAUUACGGAUUAACUCUAACAAUAUAAAAAGAAAUUCUAAAUGCAAUGCAUGUUUUUUUUGGGUAUUUUUAUAAUUUGAAUAAGCAAGAAAAAUGUAAACAAUUGAUAAAAAUCUACAGAAUUCCUAAAAAUGGAAAAUAAUUAAGAAAAAAUUUAUCUUCUUGGAUUUUAUGGGAGUAAUUCAUGUGAGGCAAAAAUCACAUGCUCACACAUCUUUUGAGGAGUGAUUACCGAGUAUUGCAUUGAUGUGAUCCAUAUUAUAAUAAACCUAGGACCCCUUUCCUUUUCCUUUUCUUUUCUUUUAAAGCUUUGUAACUCCUUGAUUAAAAAUCAGCCUUUUAAUUGUUCUUUCAAACUUUGUUUAUUUUCAUACCAUUGUGUAUUAAAAUCCCCUCUUAUUUGAGCCUUAUAUGUUUAUAUGUUAAUUGCACCAAAUUCACAAAGAACUAUCUAGCCGAGAAUCAUAUUAGUAGAUCUUGAGGGGUGCCUAACACCUUCCCCUUAGGAUAAUUUCAAGCCAUUACCCUAUCUCUGGUUAUCAAGUGAACUUAGAAAUGAACCUUGAUGGUGUCUUAAUGCACCAUAUACCAUUAGGUUGCGAUUCUUCAAAAUGUAAAACCCAGUUCCCAAAAGAAAUGAGUUGUCUUAUACCCCAAAAAUGUCAUUAACCUGGUUCUCCCAACGCGAGGAGGGAAAAAGGGGAUGUGACAGCUGAUUGUAGCUGCUCAGGACUAUGUAGCUCCUACCAUGCCAGAGGACGAGUAGCGCUGGUUGGAGAGGUUUUGUAGACUUCAGCCUCCGACUUUUAAUGGUGUAGAGGGCGAGGAUGCCUAGAGUUUAUUAGGUAGGUGUCAGCGGAUUCUCCGCACAGCGGGUAUUCUGGAGACCGGCGGGGUCACUUUCACUACUUUUCAGUUUUUUGGAGCUGCAUUCACUUGGUGGGAGGCGUAUGAGAGGCGUAGGCCUGUUGGUGCAAUACCCCUUACCAGGCACCAAUUCUUCAUUCUCUUUUUGGAGAAGUAUAUGCCGUUGUCUCGUAGAGAGGAGCUGCACUUGCAGUUUGAGUGGUUGCGCCAGAGAGAGAUGACUGUGACGCAUUAUGAGAUGAGGUUCUGCUUGUCAUGCUAUUUGGUUGGUUCCGAUAUAUAGAGAGAGGAUUGGGAUGUUUGUUGAUGGCCUUACUUAUCGGCUUCGUAUUCUCAUGACCAGGGAGAGGGUGUCUGGUGCUACAUUUGAGAAGGUUGUAGGCAUUGCUCGUGAUAUUGAGUCAGUUCGUUGCUAGGAGAAAGAUGAGAGUGAGGCCAAGAGGCCUCGAGGAUCUGGUAGUUACAAUGGUUCUCCUUCGCAAGGUCAGUUUCAACACAAAAGAGGCCGUCCAUUCUGGCAUGCUCAGCCAGCUCGCCCAUGCUAUCAUGGGGCGUCAUCGGGUCAUAGUUAUCACAGUUCUCAUCUGGGGCAGUUAUCACUUAGUGGCAUUCUAGCUUAGAGUUUGUCCCGUGCUCCAUGCUCUUCUAUGCCAGGUGCAUCUGCUAGUCAUUCCGGUGCUAGGGGUUCCCUUCAGUCCCCGUCUCCAGCACCCGAGAGUUGCUAUGGGUGCGGAGAGAUAGGUCAUAUAUGAAGGCAUUGUCCUUGUCGUUUUGGGGAUUCAUCUCAAUAUAGGGGUUAACCGUGGGCUUCAGCACCAGUUUCUUUACCACCACCUACCCACCCAGCUAGGGGUGGAGGUCAGUCAGCUAGGGGUCGCCCUAGAAAGGGAGGUUGCUCAGGUGGUGGUUAGGCCAAUUUUAUGCACUUCUAGCUAGACCCGAUGCUAUUGCUUCCGAUGCUGUUAUUACAUGUAUUAUUUCAAUCUUCAGCAGAGAUGCCUCUGUAUUAUUUGAUCCCGUUUCCACUUAUUCUUAUGUGUCAUCAUACUUUGCUCGUUAUUUGGAUACACCCUGUGAAUCUCUUGUUUCAUUUGUUAAUGUAUAUACUUCGGUGGGUGAUACGUUGUUGUGGACCGUGUGUAUCAGUCAUGUAUGGUGACUAUUGGGGCCCCGGAGACUCGAGUGGAUCUAUUAUUUUUAUGUAUGGUAGACUUCGAUGUUAUUUUAGGCAUGGAUUGGCUAUUUCCAUGUCAUAGUAUUUUGGACUGCCACGCUAAAACAGUGAUAUUGGUUAUGCUAGGUGUGCCACGGAUUGAAUAGCGAGGUUCGACUGAUUAUGUUCCUAGUAGGGCAAUUGCAUUCUUGAAGGCCAGCGUAUGGUUGGGAAGGGUUGUCUUUCAUAUCUAGCCUUUGUGAGGGAUGUUGGUACAAAGACUCCCAGUAUUGAUUCUGUUCCAGUUGUGAGGGAUUUCCCCGAUUUCUUGCAGACCUGCCGGGCAUGCCACUGGACGUGGAUAUUAAUUUUGGUAUUGAUAUAGUGCCGGACAAUCGGCCCGUUUCUAUCCCACCGUAUCGUAUGGCACCAGCGGAGUUGAAGGAGUUAAUGGAGCAACUUCAGGAACUCUUUGACAAGGGGUUUAUUCGGCCUAGUGUGUCACCUUGGGGUGCGCCGGUUCUAUUUGUGAAGAAGAAGGAUGCCACUAUGAGGAUGUGCAUUGAUUACAUGCAUUUGAACAAAGUAACAAUUAAGAACAAGUAUUCUUUGCCUCGUAUCGAUGAUUUGUUUGACCAGCUUCAGGGAGUGAGAGUGUUCUCCAAGAUUGAUCUCCAAUUAGGUUAUCACCAGUUUAAGAUCAAAGACUCAAAUAUUCUUAAGAGAGCUUUCAUGACCCGAUAUGGUCGUUAUGAGUUCUUGGUGAUGUCUCCAGCAGAGUUCAUGAAUUUAAUGAACGGCGUGUUUCGGCCGUGUCUUGACUCUUUUGUCAUAGUCUUCAUUGAUGAUAUUCUUGUAUACUCGCGCAGGCAGGAAGAGCACGCGAAGUAUUUGAGAGUUGUGUUGUAGAUAGCUUUAUGCAAAGUUCUCCAAGUGUGAGUUUUGGAUCGGUUCAGUAGCUUUCUUGGGGCACGUGGUGUCCAACGAGGGUAUUCAGGUUGAUACAAAGAAGAUAGAGGCGGUUCAGAGCUGGCCCAAAUCGUCUUCGGCCACAGAGUUUCGUAGUUUUCUUGGUUUGGCGAGUUAUUAUAGCCUGUUUGUUCAAGGAUUUUCAUCUAUCUCUUUUCCCUUGACCAAGAUGACUCAGAAGGGUGCUUCAUUUGUAUGGUCAGAUGAGUGUGUGGAGAGAUUUCAGAAGAACAAUAUCACACCUCUUUUUUGGCUAUCCACAACUCGACGAAGGAUGUAGAUAGGGGAGUUUUUCCAAUUAAAGGACAAUCGAAACAGAAUUCAAUUAUUUAAGAUAGUUUCAGAGUCACCACUUGGGAGAUUAUGGUGUCCCAAGUCACCGGUUUAGAAUCCAGAAUCGAGGAAAGAAUGACUCUGUUUAACAAUCCGCUAACCAAAAAUCCGGAUAAGGAAUUCUGUUAACCCGGGAGAAGGUGUUAGGCACUCCCGAGUUCCGUGGUUCUAGCACGGUCGCUCAACUCUUAUAUUUGGCUUAAAUAAUCUGAAACAUGUUUUAAUUUAUGUGCUUUUAAACCUUAAACUGCUUUUAUAAUUAUUAUUUUAUUAUUUUUUUACGAAAAAUUGCAACGACGUCAAAACGUGCCUUAAACCACGUCACAUAAAUGCACCCGUGAUUUUUGACACAUUCUAACUUCGUUGAGAUUUGGAUUUGGGUCACAUAAAUGCGCACCCAUGUUUAAGGAGAGAAAAUUAUUAAAGACGUUCCUAUACGCGACUAACACGUUAUUAUUUUGCGGGAAUACCGUGAAAUUUUCUAAACGGCGUGUCCCGAAUCUCUAAGUAUUUUACUAUGAACAUUUACGGAGGACCAUACAAUUUAUGAGUUCUAUUUGGCGCGGCGCACCUCGAUGAAUUUAAGGAAGUGCAUUCAACUAAGUGGAUUAGGGACAUUCAUUUUUACAACUAAUUUGAGAUCCAACAUCACAACCACGCUAUGGGAACCAUUGCCGUUAUUGUGGUGAUCUAAUUACGUGCCUAAGGGUUCUCCUACCCAGGGUAUAUUAACCAAUCAUGCUCCUAACGGUCUAGUUAAUGAAGCAAUUUUCACCUUUAGUUCACAUACCCCACGACCAUUUAUCAUUGUUUCUCCCUACGCUAAUUUCACCGUACAAUCGAGAAUUCAUAAAAUAGGAGUCAACAUUCUUAGAGACUUAAAACUGACUUUAAACAAAAUAUAACAGACAAAUCAAACAAACAAUAUUAAUGAACAGAACGAUUAAAGCCUAUCAAACAAAGGCAAACAUGAAACUCAUGUGCAGAUUUCCAAACAACAUUAUAACAACACCAACUUUGGAACUCAUCAUGCAUAUUGGACUUAACCUAGGGUAUUGAACCCUUAUACUAUCAUUCAUACAGAUAUAAGGCUAUGUCACUACAGCCUUAGAAAAACCUUAAUUAGGGCUCCUUUAGAACCCCAAAAGAUCAUAACUCAACCAAAUUCAACAAGAUUUAAAUUUAGACCUCAAAACAAAACAGUAUAAUACCAAAUGGAUACAUUUAAAAGCCUAGCCUAAAAAGAUACCACUCCAAGCCAUGAAGAGCAUACCAUAUUCAGAGUAUUAAGUUCCAGUCGCUUAUUUAUGGGGUAGAGAGACAAUAAACAAAAUUUCUCAAAUGAAAUAGAUUGAACAGGUAGGCUAAACUAUGAGCACAACUACUAAUCUAAUAGGACCUGUCCAUAUCCUAAAGAAAAUAUACAUCUCUUUUAGAAAAAAAAUGAAGGAGAAAACUCAAAAGAAAAAUAAUUACCAAAGCAACUUAAGGCAUGCCAUAUCCAUUUCUCAACUUCCAAUUCGAGUAGGAAUUCAAGGAUGUGUACCUAAUAUCGAACAACAAAACAAGAGAAGGUGAGAUAGCAGCAGUAGAAACAGCUGAACUCAACAGAUUUCAGCAACCAGAAAUAGAUGAAAUCAACUCCGAACCCAGGAAUGAAGUCAAGCAACCCAGAAAACAACUCAAAUGAAGAACCACAAAAACAAAUUUACAACCAAUGCUUAAAAGAGAACCAAAUUUGAUCCAUCUUCACACUAAAUGAUUUAGAAUUUGCUUUUAUAAGUCAGCACUUCCAAAUACUGAAAAGUUUGAUAAAACAGUAAAGUUUUUAGCCGUCUUCUAUUUUUGGAUCUUAUCUCUUAAUAAAUCUAAGAUUUUCAGAAUGUGUAAGCUCUCUAUUUUGUUCUGGAUAUUCUCCUCUCUUCCUCCCAUCCCCUAGCCUUCUUUUAUUGUGCCUUUAUAGGCAAGUCCUUAAGGUGUCUUUCAGCUUUUUGUUUUCAUUAUUAGUCCCCUAUUUCGUGACUUAUUUCCCAAGUCAUACCCUGAAAUUUACUAGUAGAUCCCUGCUAGAAACUUCUAGGUUAGUUACAAAAUAUUCCCCACCUAGACUACCCAAAUCACCCCCAUAGCCAUCACUAUUUACCUUCCUCUGAAAAAUAAAUGUAGGCUCAUGUGAGGCACACACAUGCCCAAACCAUGUGGGCUACCAGAAUUCCCUGCCCCGCUUUGGGUUCCCUUUUUAUAAUGCCCAAAGUGAUUAAUUCAUAAACCAAUGCAAUUCAUAAAUCAGUAAAGCAUUACAAAAACUACAAUACCAUUGCAGCUAUGAACAAAAACACUUCUAAAUCAAAUGGAACAAGAAAUAGAUCAAAUAAUGAUUAUGCUAAGCUAUCGAUGCUUGAUCUUUCAUAUAAAAACUAAUGUUUGAAAGCAAAAUAGCAAACAACAGAAAUAAUUAUAAAAAAAAGUACAUUGAAGAAGGGAGCUAAGUUAUCAAUGCAUUAUUUGUCAUACCAGAACUAAUGUUUGAAAAUAAAAUAGCAAACAACAGAAAGAAUUAAAAAAAUUACAUUGAAGAAGGGAAUAAUGUACAGGGUUCUAACAGCGGAUUGACGACUUCAAAGAAAUCAACAACUAAGGAGGGUCCGAUAAGCGGCAAAAAUUGUAAUGCGAGCAUUAACCGGAAUUUCUCCAACGGUUAAUGCAACAAUCUUCGACACCUAUCUUGAGAAUGAAACGAACAAGAACUUUGAGCAUGGAUUGCUUGGCUAAAAUCGACUUCCAUGAGGGGCCUGGAAUUUUGAUUGAAUAACCAAUUGAUCCCUCGUGCUAGUAUCAAAAUAAGCGAAUAUUGGAAAAACAAGGAGGAAAUUGGAGGAGAGGAUGGCAACUCGAAUUUUCUGCCUUCCGAGAUUCGAAAUUCAUGGGAAUCGAGCGACAUUUGCAAAAAACUAGCGGUGGAUCUAGAAUGGGGAAGCAACAAGGAUUAUAGGGUCUAAUUUUGACGAGGUUUGGAGAUUGAUCGCCGGCGACCAUGGCUGAAUCGCUCAGGGACGGCGUAGGCUUAGUGAAGAUGAUGACAUAAACUAUCUAUUUAAUCUUUUGGCUAACGGGGAACUUUGGACACUCUUAUGCGAAUUGAAGAACUGAUACCAGCCCUUAGAUUGGGUUUGGAUGGAAGGACAUAUUUUUUUUAACUCUUGAACUCAAAACGACGUACUAUGGCUUCAGUACUACGUCGUUUUAGUUAUCUCCAAGCCUGAUGUUGGACCGGGUAAAAUGGGGUGGGUUAGGGACUGGGUGUUUGGGUUUGGGCAUGCCAUUUAAUUCUUUUGGCUAGUUUUAAUUAUAAUUGGCCCCAAAGAGUAUAUGUAAUGGAAUUGUAUUUUCAGACUUCUUUAAUCCUUCUCUUUAUUUAUUUCAAUUCCAAAAUUAUUUUUUAAAACUUAGAAAAAUCCUAAUUAAUAUAUAAAACCCUUAAUUAACCAUUCAAUAAUUAUGUCAAUACCGGCAACAAUGAAAUUUAUAGUAAGAGGAAAAUCCGUCGACUUUGCCACAUAAUAGAACAAAAGGAAGAACAAAAUUACCUAAAACUAAUCUUAUGUGUGCAUUAAACCAUUUUUUUUGAAUUUCCUUUUCCAAUUACUAAUUAAUUUUUAAAAAUGCAAAAUUACUCCUAAGUGCACAUGCCUUAUGUACUUUUGUAUUUUCGUUAUUUGAAAUGCACAAAAUGCAAACCAUUAACAGAAUAAUGCCACAAAAAAAUCAAAAUUGCAAAUAAACAAACAAAAUUAUUUUGUUUUGAAUUUCUGAGAGUAAUUCGUAUUGGGCAAAAAUCAUAUGCUCACAGCUGCCCCUCUUUGCGCGGGAACACAUAGAGCUUUCGUGCAAAGAUAAGUGAGCGAACAUGAGCGAUUUUUGCCUGUUUGAACCCUCCGUGAGAAGCAUUUUUGAAAAGUUUGACCGCACCCUGCUUCAGAGUUAUCCUACAUAUCCUCGGUUGGAGAGGAAUCAGGUUAGUGUAGUUCAGGAGUGUUUGGCAGCUGAGACUACCGAGGCUGUGAUUUUACUGUUUCUGUUGCUGCUAUUGCUGCUAGACCCCCUUAUUACACCAUUGUGAAAAAUAAAGAAGCUAGACUAAGCUAUGAACUAUGGAUUGCAAGAAAACCUAUCUAUAUUUUCCGACUUUCUCUGAAUCCUUAUUGCCUUGUUGUCUUGCAUUUCUUGCUGUGGAACUUCUUGUUGCUUUAUUAACCGGUGUUUCCUCCUGUGGAACCUUGUUGUCUGGUAAUCCUUCAUUUGGAACUCCUUGUUGCCUUGUUGUCUGGUAUUUCUCUUCCUCUAUUUUCGAUGCCGAAUUGCUGGUCUUAAGAUGUACUCCGUUGAAAGCAUUCCCUCGUUCUACAUGUGGGCGCCUAGUUGCUUGAACUCACAAUUUGAAAAAUAUUCCUUUGUUCUACAGGUGGACACCUAAUCAUCAAAACAUGA